CGCCGACGCGGUGUGAGGACGCUCCCACGGAGGCCGGAAUUGGCUGUGAAAGGACUGAGGCAGCCAUCUGGGGGUAGCGGGCACUCUUAUCAGAGCGGCUGGAGCCGGACCAUCGUCCCAGAGAGCUGGGGCAGGGGGCCGUGCCCAAUCUCCAGGGCUCCUGGGGCCACUGCUGACCUGGCUGGAUGCAUCGGGCAGUGGACCCUCCAGGGGCCCGCGCUGCACGGGAAGCCUUUGCCCUUGGGGGCCUGAGCUGUGCUGGGGCCUGGAGCUCCUGCCCGCCUCAUCCCCCUCCUCGUAGCGCAUGGCUGCCUGGAGGCAGAUGCUCAGCCAGCAUUGGGCAGCCCCCGCUUCCUGCUCCCCUACCCCCUUCACAUGGCAGUAGUUCUGGGCACCCCAACAAACCAUAUUAUGCUCCAGGGGCGCCCACUCCAAGACCCCUCCAUGGGAAGCUGGAAUCCCUGCAUGGCUGUGUGCAGGCAUUGCUCCGGGAGCCAGCCCAGCCAGGGCUUUGGGAACAGCUUGGGCAACUGUACGAGUCAGAGCACGAUAGUGAGGAGGCCACACGCUGCUACCACAGCGCCCUUCGAUACGGAGGAAGCUUCGCUGAGCUGGGGCCCCGCAUUGGUCGACUGCAGCAGGCCCAGCUCUGGAACUUUCAUACUGGCUCCUGCCAGCACCGAGCCAAGGUCCUGCCCCCACUGGAGCAAGUGUGGAACUUGCUACACCUUGAGGUGAGGCUGGCACUGGGUGGGUUAGGGAGGAGAGCCAGGCUGUGCCUGCACCCGUGCCAUUUUCUCUUCUCUCUUUUUGUUCUCAGCACAAACGGAACUAUGGAGCCAAGCGGGGAGGUCCCCCGGUGAAGCGAGCUGCUGAACCCCCAGUGGUGCAGCCUGUGCCUCCUGCAGCACUCUCAGGCCCCUCAGGGGAGGAGGGCCUCAGCCCUGGAGGCAAGCGAAGGAGAGGCUGCAACUCUGAACAGACUGGCCUUCCCCCAGGGCUGC
This 1004-nucleotide long non-coding RNA is filed under the name Pan troglodytes (chimpanzee). RNAcentral's name for it is "long non-coding RNA NONPTRT006666". Lineage: Eukaryota; Metazoa; Chordata; Mammalia; Primates; Hominidae. The record is from RNAcentral.